CCUCCUCCAUCGAAGAAACCCUAAGCCCGAGCAGAACCUCGCACGAUCUCUACGCCGAUGGUGCUCCGAUCGGAGAUCCAGCGAUCCAAGGUGGGAAGAACAAGCCCAAAAAUCUCGCGAUCUGAGCUUCUUGCAUUGGAAACAUACGGAGAGGAAAACGAGCUUGUUGGAAGAAGGGAGUGAGGUCCCCAGAAACAGGGGAGAGAGGGGGAGGCAGGGAACGCAAGAUGACCAGAGAUGGAACCAUGCGCGCGCCCCUCCCAUUUAUAGAGCGCGGAUUUGAAUCGUG
This 289-nucleotide long non-coding RNA is filed under the name Phoenix dactylifera (date palm). Its description in RNAcentral is "long non-coding RNA (PDAC_LNC014475)". The record is from RNAcentral. Lineage: Eukaryota; Viridiplantae; Streptophyta; Magnoliopsida; Arecales; Arecaceae.